Molecule: ribosomal RNA, 461 nt
Filed under: uncultured bacterium
Lineage: Bacteria
Description: bacterial SSU rRNA
Rfam family: Bacterial small subunit ribosomal RNA
Source: RNAcentral
CCAGACUCCUACGGGAGGCAGCAGUGGGGAAUAUUGCACAAUGGGGGAAACCCUGAUGCAGCGACGCCGCGUGAGUGAAGAAGUAUUUCGGUAUGUAAAGCUCUAUCAGCAGGGAAGAAAUAGCGACCUUUGGGUCGCCAGACGGUACCUGAUUAAGAAGCCCCGGCUAACUACGUGCCAGCAGCCGCGGUAAUACGUAGGGAGCGAGCGUUGUCCGGAAUUACUGGGUGUAAAGGGAGCGUAGGCGGGCUUGUAAGUUGAAUGUCUAAUCCACCGGCUCAACCGGUGAUCGCGUUCAAAACUGCAGGUCUUGAGUGAAGUAGAGGCAGGCGGAAUUCCUAGUGUAGCGGUGAAAUGCGUAGAUAUUAGGAGGAACGCCAGUGGCGAAGGCGGCCUGCUGGACGGUGACUGACGCUGAGGCUCGAAAGCGUGGGGAGCAAACAGGAUUAGAUACCCCCGUA